RNAcentral lists this ribosomal RNA (449 nucleotides) under uncultured bacterium. RNAcentral's name for it is "bacterial SSU rRNA". It matches the Rfam family "Bacterial small subunit ribosomal RNA", at positions 8 to 455 of the family's 1533-position model. The record is from RNAcentral.
AGAGUUUGAUCCUGGCUCAGGAUGAACGCUAGCGGCAGGCCUAAUACAUGCAAGUCGAACGAUACCAGAGAGCUUGCUUUCUGGGAAAGUGGCGCACGGGUGCGUAACGCGUAUGCAACCUACCUUAAUCAGGGGGAUAGCCUCUCGAAAGAGAGAUUAACACCGCAUAAAAUCACACUUCGGCAUCGAAGAAUGAUCAAAUAUUUAUAGGAUUAAGAUGGGCAUGCGUGACAUUAGUUUGUUGGUGAGGUAACGGCUCACCAAGACUACGAUGUCUAGGGGAUCUGAGAGGAUGACCCCCCACACUGGUACUGAGACACGGACCAGACUCCUACGGGAGGCAGCAGUAAGGAAUAUUGGUCAAUGGGGGCAACCCUGAACCAGCCAUGCCGCGUGCAGGAAGACGGCCCUACGGGUUGUAAACUGCUUUUAUACGGGAAUAAAUCAUG